UGGGGAAUAUUGGACAAUGGGCGCAAGCCUGAUCCAGCAAUGCCGCGUGGGUGAAGAAGGUCUUCGGAUCGUAAAGCCCUUUCGACAGGGACGAUGAUGACGGUACCUGUAGAAGAAGCCCCGGCUAACUUCGUGCCAGCAGCCGCGGUAAUACGAAGGGGGCUAGCGUUGCUCGGAAUUACUGGGCGUAAAGGGCGCGUAGGCGGCUUAGUCAGUCAGGCGUGAAAUUCCUGGGCUUAACCUGGGGGCUGCGCUUGAUACGGCUAGGCUUGAGGGUAGGAGAGGGUCGUGGAAUUCCCAGUGUAGAGGUGAAAUUCGUAGAUAUUGGGAAGAACACCGGUGGCGAAGGCGGCGACCUGGCCUAUUACUGACGCUGAGGCGCGACAGCGUGGGGAGCAAACA
Molecule: ribosomal RNA, 402 nt
Filed under: uncultured prokaryote
Description: bacterial SSU rRNA
Rfam family: Bacterial small subunit ribosomal RNA
Source: RNAcentral